AUUCUGCCCAAGCGGGGAAGGAUGAGAAGCUUCGACCAAGGUUCGACUUGAGCGCCAGCGAGAGAGCGUUGCCGCAGGCAACGACCCGAAGGGCGA
This 96-nucleotide small RNA is filed under the name Escherichia coli. RNAcentral's name for it is "partial RtT sRNA". It matches the Rfam family "RtT RNA", at positions 1 to 94 of the family's 130-position model. From Rfam's summary of the family: This family represents a bacterial cis-regulatory element known as RtT RNA. The exact function of RtT is unknown although it is thought that it may be involved in changing the cellular response in relation to amino acid starvation. The record is from RNAcentral. Lineage: Bacteria; Pseudomonadati; Pseudomonadota; Gammaproteobacteria; Enterobacterales; Enterobacteriaceae.